This 522-nucleotide long non-coding RNA is filed under the name Malus domestica (apple). RNAcentral describes it as "long non-coding RNA (MDOM_LNC012552)". Lineage: Eukaryota; Viridiplantae; Streptophyta; Magnoliopsida; Rosales; Rosaceae. The record is from RNAcentral.
UUGUGCGAGAAAGUUGUAGCGCGGACUCUAGGUGAGUGACUUUAAUAUAUGUGAUAUUGGUGAUUACCCUGUUUUCGUAAUUGUUAUCCUAUGUGGAUAUGACUUGGUUUUAUAAAUAUGUUUUCUAUUCAAUUGUUAUUUUUUUUUAAUAUUUAGCCAUCAAUGUAGUUUUAUGAAAUGUUGUUUGACUUGCAUAUUGGAAAUAUGGUUUGACUUGUAUGUUUGGCCUGAUGUGAUGAAAUGUGAGUGCUAGUAGUGGACCAUGAACCCAUUGUCAUGGGGUUUGUUGCUUCGAGACUUGUUUCACAUAUUUUAUCAUUAUUUCAUUUCUUGUUUCGUUAAGCCGUUCUAAUUGUGUACCUUGUGCUUUGUUCCAUUUCUUGUUUCAUUAAGCUUUUGUAUUUUGGGUACUGGUUUCAUGUCUUGUUCUUCAAAUCAUAUCAGAGAGUAUUCUCCUUCAAGCGACUUGAAGGUUAGAGAUCCCUUGUUGCGCAUUCACUUGUCUCCAUAGCUAAGCGGCUU